GACGAACGCUGGCGGCGCGCCUAAUACAUGCAAGUAGAACGCUGAAGAGAGGAGCUUGCUCUUCUUGGAUGAGUUGCGAACGGGUGAGUAACGCGUAGGUAACCUGCCUUGUAGCGGGGGAUAACUAUUGGAAACGAUAGCUAAUACCGCAUAACAAUAGGUGACACAUGUCAUUUAUUUGAAAGGGGCAAUUGCUCCACUACAAGAUGGACCUGCGUUGUAUUAGCUAGUAGGUGAGGUAACGGCUCACCUAGGCGACGAUACAUAGCCGACCUGAGAGGGUGAUCGGCCACACUGGGACUGAGACACGGCCCAGACUCCUACGGGAGGCAGCAGUAGGGAAUCUUCGGCAAUGGGGGCAACCCUGACCGAGCAACGCCGCGUGAGUGAAGAAGGUUUUCGGAUCGUAAAGCUCUGUUGUAAGUCAAGAACGAGUGUGAGAGUGGAAAGUUCACACUGUGACGGUAGCUUACCAGAAAGGGACGGCUAACUACGUGCCAGCAGCCGCGGUAAUACGUAGGUCCCGAGCGUUGUCCGGAUUUAUUGGGCGUAAAGCGAGCGCAGGCGGUUUGAUAAGUCUGAAGUUAAAGGCUGUGGCUCAACCAUAGUUCGCUUUGGAAACUGUCAAACUUGAGUGCAGAAGGGGAGAGUGGAAUUCCAUGUGUAGCGGUGAAAUGCGUAGAUAUAUGGAGGAACACCGGUGGCGAAAGCGGCUCUCUGGUCUGUAACUGACGCUGAGGCUCGAAAGCGUGGGGAGCGAACAGGAUUAGAUACCCUGGUAGUCCACGCCGUAAACGAUGAGUGCUAGGUGUUGGAUCCUUUCCGGGAUUCAGUGCCGCAGCUAACGCAUUAAGCACUCCGCCUGGGGAGUGCGACCGCAAGGUUGAAACUCAAAGGAAUUGACGGGGGCCCGCACAAGCGGUGGAGCAUGUGGUUUAAUUCGAAGCAACGCGAAGAACCUUACCAGGUCUUGACAUCCCGAUGCUAUUUCUAGAGAUAGAAAGUUACUUCGGUACAUCGGUGACAGGUGGUGCAUGGUUGUCGUCAGCUCGUGUCGUGAGAUGUUGGGUUAAGUCCCGCAACGAGCGCAACCCCUAUUGUUAGUUGCCAUCAUUCAGUUGGGCACUCUAGCGAGACUGCCGGUAAUAAACCGGAGGAAGGUGGGGAUGACGUCAAAUCAUCAUGCCCCUUAUGACCUGGGCUACACACGUGCUACAAUGGUUGGUACAACGAGUUGCGAGUCGGUGACGGCAAGCUAAUCUCUUAAAGCCAAUCUCAGUUCGGAUUGUAGGCUGCAACUCGCCUACAUGAAGUCGGAAUCGCUAGUAAUCGCGGAUCAGCACGCCGCGGUGAAUACGUUCCCGGGCCU
RNAcentral lists this ribosomal RNA (1369 nucleotides) under uncultured bacterium. Its description in RNAcentral is "bacterial SSU rRNA". It matches the Rfam family "Bacterial small subunit ribosomal RNA", at positions 28 to 1381 of the family's 1533-position model. The record is from RNAcentral.